This 801-nucleotide long non-coding RNA is filed under the name Homo sapiens (human). Its description in RNAcentral is "HSALNT0409193". Lineage: Eukaryota; Metazoa; Chordata; Mammalia; Primates; Hominidae. The record is from RNAcentral.
CAGCAACAGCAACUUUUCAUGCUGUGGAAGCUUAGUUCCUUUGUUCUUCCUGCUAAAUGUUGCUGCUGUUGACUCUUUGGGUCCGUGCCGCCUUUGAGAGCUGUAACACUCACCACGAAGGUCUGAAGCUUCACUCCUAAAGCCAGCGAGACUAGGAACCCACCAGGAGGGAGGAACAACUCCAGACGGGAGGAACGAACAACUCCGGAGGCGCCACCUUUAUGAACUGUAACACUCACCAUGAAGGUCUGCAGCUUCACUCCUGAGGCCAGUGAGACCACACAUCCACCAGUAGAAAGAAACUACGGACAAGUCUGAACAUCAGAAGGAACAAACUCCGGACAUACCAUCUUUAAGAACUGUAACAUUCGCCGUGAGGGUCUGCAGCUUCAUUCUUGAAGUCCGCAAGACCAAGAACCCACCAAUUCCGGACACGCUGGGAUACUUUGUGACUUUGUUUACAGAGAAAAAAUAAUAUAUUUUUUCAUUCCAAAUCUGUAUUUAAAAAUAUGUAUGGUCAGGCACAGUGGCUGAUGCCUGUAAUCCGAGCACUUUUGGAGGCUGAGGUGGGAUCACUUGAGACUAGGAGCUCAUAUUGACCAGCCUGGCCAUCAUGGCAAAACCCCAUCUGUACUAAAAAUACAAAAGUUAGCCAGGGAAGGAUAUGGCUACUUUGAAAUGGAAACAAAAGAUUUUAAAUAAGAAACAAUGAAUAACAUUAUCCACAGAAAAUCAGAGAUUGAACCGUCAACAUUAACAUGGCAUUUAUCUUUUAUUUUUAUUUACAUUAUUUUUUUAGAC